GGGCAUCUUGCUCCUCCUGAGCUUUGAUGGCAUAGGCCCUGGCAGGUAUUCUAGUGUCUGGCCUCUCAGUUGACUCAGAUGCAGGCCUCAGUGAUGGACCAGCUGCCUCAGGUUUACCGGGCUUCCUACCCCUUUGUGGUGUAGGGGCAGGUCUGUCAGUUUGUGUUGGAGCAACUGUAGUAGUCCUCUUCGGACAAUUCUUGAUCUGAUGUUCUGUUGAUCCACACCGUAAGCAUGCACCAGUCACUCGCCAACAUUCCCCCUUAUGCCACUUCUGACAAUACUGACAAGCAGAAGAUGUAGGGGCUGAUCCCUUAAACACGGUCCCUGGAGAGCUGCCCAUUGAUGGUGUGGACUGGCCUCUCCU
This 367-nucleotide unclassified non-coding RNA is filed under the name Hevea brasiliensis (rubber tree). The record is from RNAcentral. Lineage: Eukaryota; Viridiplantae; Streptophyta; Magnoliopsida; Malpighiales; Euphorbiaceae.